GUGGGGAAUUUUGGACAAUGGGCGCAAGCCUGAUCCAGCAAUGCCGCGUGCAGGAAGAAGGCCUUCGGGUUGUAAACUGCUUUUGUACGGAACGAAACGGUCCUGGCUAAUAUCCGGGGCUAAUGACGGUACCGUAAGAAUAAGCACCGGCUAACUACGUGCCAGCAGCCGCGGUAAUACGUAGGGUGCGAGCGUUAAUCGGAAUUACUGGGCGUAAAGCGUGCGCAGGCGGUGCUGUAAGACAGGCGUGAAAUCCCCGGGCUCAACCUGGGAAUUGCGCUUGUGACUGCAGUGCUGGAGUACGGCAGAGGGGGAUGGAAUUCCGCGUGUAGCAGUGAAAUGCGUAGAUAUGCGGAGGAACACCGAUGGCGAAGGCAGUCCCCUGGGCCUGUACUGACGCUCAUGCACGAAAGCGUGGGGAGCAAACAGGAUUAGAUACCCUAGUAGUCC
Molecule: ribosomal RNA, 450 nt
Filed under: uncultured bacterium
Lineage: Bacteria
Description: partial 16S ribosomal RNA
Rfam family: Bacterial small subunit ribosomal RNA
Source: RNAcentral